This 434-nucleotide ribosomal RNA is filed under the name uncultured bacterium. RNAcentral describes it as "bacterial SSU rRNA". It matches the Rfam family "Bacterial small subunit ribosomal RNA", at positions 335 to 784 of the family's 1533-position model. The record is from RNAcentral.
ACUCCUACGGGAGGCAGCAGUGGGGAAUAUUGCACAAUGGGGGAAACCCUGAUGCAGCAACGCCGUGUGAGUGAAGAAGGUUUUCGGAUCGUAAAACUCUGUCCUAAGGGAAGAAACAAAUGACGGUACCUUAGGAGGAAGCCCCGGCUAACUACGUGCCAGCAGCCGCGGUAAUACGUAGGGGGCAAGCGUUAUCCGGAAUCACUGGGCGUAAAGGGUGCGUAGGCGGCUUAGCAAGCCAGGGGUGAAAGGCAUUGGCUCAACCAAUGUAAGCCUUUGGAACUGUUAAGCUUGAGUGCAGGAGAGGUAAGUGGAAUUCCUAGUGUAGAGGUGAAAUUCGUAGAUAUUAGGAGGAACACCAGUGGCGAAGGCGACUUACUGGACUGUAACUGACGCUGAUGCACGAAAGCGUGGGUAGCGAACAGGAUUAGAUA